Molecule: ribosomal RNA, 465 nt
Filed under: Vreelandella stevensii
Lineage: Bacteria; Pseudomonadati; Pseudomonadota; Gammaproteobacteria; Oceanospirillales; Halomonadaceae
Description: partial 16S ribosomal RNA
Rfam family: Bacterial small subunit ribosomal RNA
Source: RNAcentral
CCUACGGGGGGCUGCAGUGGGGAAUAUUGGACAAUGGGGGGAACCCUGAUCCAGCCAUGCCGCGUGUGUGAAGAAGGCCCUCGGGUUGUAAAGCACUUUCAGUGAGGAAGAACGCCUGGUGGUUAAUACCCAUCAGGAAAGACAUCACUCACAGAAGAAGCACCGGCUAACUCCGUGCCAGCAGCCGCGGUAAUACGGAGGGUGCGAGCGUUAAUCGGAAUUACUGGGCGUAAAGCGCGCGUAGGUGGCUUGAUAAGCCGGUUGUGAAAGCCCCGGGCUCAACCUGGGAACGGCAUCCGGAACUGUCAAGCUAGAGUGCAGGAGAGGAAGGUAGAAUUCCCGGUGUAGCGGUGAAAUGCGUAGAGAUCGGGAGGAAUACCAGUGGCGAAGGCGGCCUUCUGGACUGAAACUGACACUGGGGUGCGAAAGCGUGGGUAGCAAACAGGAUUAGAUACCCUAGUAGUC